Non-coding RNA from Pseudonaja textilis, 378 nucleotides. The record is from RefSeq and is a predicted model, not a curated record. Lineage: Eukaryota; Metazoa; Chordata; Lepidosauria; Squamata; Elapidae.
CAUGGGGCACUCCUAAAGAGCUAAAGAGACCAAGAAUCUGAAUCCAAGCCAGAUAAUUUCCUCUGAAUGCCUGAGAAGAGAACCUGAGCCAAUGUUUCUUAUUCCAGAUCCUUCUGAACUUGUUUGUGCAGGCAUAGAGACUGUAUAUAUUUAAAACCUAUCAGUUGUGAACAAAACCCAACAAUAUUAAACAAAAUUGGUACUGACACAAAAUAUCAUUUGAAAUUGCAUGUUGAUUAAAAAAAAAGUAUUUAAACCGUCCCCAGCUGAAAAAUAUUGGCACAAUAUUGUCACCUUAUUUUCUUUCGUUUAACUACCCAUUUUUAUGUGUCUGCAGAUUGACGAAAGAAUGUAAAAGUUUGGUGACUUAACAUGUUA